UACGUAGGGGGCAAGCGUUGUCCGGAAUCAUUGGGCGUAAAGAGCGUGUAGGCGGCUCGGUAAGUCCGCUGUGAAAGUCCAGGGCUCAACCCUGGAAUGCCGGUGGAAACUGUCGAGCUCGAGUCCGGAAGAGGCGAGUGGAAUUCCUGGUGUAGCGGUGAAAUGCGCAGAUAUCAGGAGGAACACCAAUGGCGAAGGCGGCAUCCUGGACCGAGAUUGACGCUGAGGCGCGAAAGCCAGGGGAGCAAACGGG
This 253-nucleotide ribosomal RNA is filed under the name uncultured bacterium. Its description in RNAcentral is "partial 16S ribosomal RNA". It matches the Rfam family "Bacterial small subunit ribosomal RNA", at positions 524 to 776 of the family's 1533-position model. The record is from RNAcentral.